This 450-nucleotide ribosomal RNA is filed under the name uncultured bacterium. RNAcentral's name for it is "partial 16S ribosomal RNA". It matches the Rfam family "Bacterial small subunit ribosomal RNA", at positions 354 to 796 of the family's 1533-position model. The record is from RNAcentral.
GUGGGGAAUAUUGGACAAUGGGGGGAACCCUGAUCCAGCCAUGCCGCGUGUGUGAAGAAGGCCUUAUGGUUGUAAAGCACUUUAAGCGAGGAGGAGGCUUACCUAGUUAAUACCUGGGAUAAGUGGACGUUACUCGCAGAAUAAGCACCGGCUAACUCUGUGCCAGCAGCCGCGGUAAUACAGAGGGUGCAAGCGUUAAUCGGAUUUACUGGGCGUAAAGCGCGCGUAGGCGGCCAAUUAAGUCAAAUGUGAAAUCCCCGAGCUUAACUUGGGAAUUGCAUUCGAUACUGGUUGGCUAGAGUGUGGGAGAGGAUGGUAGAAUUCCAGGUGUAGCGGUGAAAUGCGUAGAGAUCUGGAGGAAUACCGAUGGCGAAGGCAGCCAUCUGGCCUAACACUGACGCUGAGGUGCGAAGCAUGGGGAGCAAACAGGAUUAGAUACCCUAGUAGUCC